RNAcentral lists this ribosomal RNA (310 nucleotides) under Bacteroides thetaiotaomicron. RNAcentral describes it as "partial 16S ribosomal RNA". It matches the Rfam family "Bacterial small subunit ribosomal RNA", at positions 1 to 302 of the family's 1533-position model. Lineage: Bacteria; Pseudomonadati; Bacteroidota; Bacteroidia; Bacteroidales; Bacteroidaceae. The record is from RNAcentral.
CUUUUACAAUGAAGAGUUUGAUCCUGGCUCAGGAUGAACGCUAGCUACAGGCUUAACACAUGCAAGUCGAGGGGCAGCAGGAUCUAGCAAUAGAUUGCUGGCGACCGGCGCACGGGUGAGUAACACGUAUCCAACCUGCCGAUAACUCGGGGAUAGCCUUUCGAAAGAAAGAUUAAUACCCGAUGGUAUAAUCAGACCGCAUGGUCUUGUUAUUAAAGAAUUUCGGUUAUCGAUGGGGAUGCGUUCCAUUAGGCAGUUGGUGAGGUAACGGCUCACCAAACCUUCGAUGGAUAGGGGUUCUGAGAGGAAG